Molecule: ribosomal RNA, 253 nt
Filed under: uncultured bacterium
Lineage: Bacteria
Description: partial 16S ribosomal RNA
Rfam family: Bacterial small subunit ribosomal RNA
Source: RNAcentral
UACGGGGGGGGCAAGCGUUGUUCGGAAUUACUGGGCGUAAAGGGUUCGUAGGUGGCUUGUUAAGUCAGACGUGAAAUCCCACGGCUCAACCGUGGAACUGCUUGGUAUACUGGUUCUCUUGAGCCACCUAGGGGCAACCGGAACAAACGGUGGAGCGGUGAAAUGCGCAGAUAUCGGGAGGAACACCGGUGGCGAAGGCGGUUCUCUGGGCCUUACCUGACGCUGAGGAGCGAAAGCGUGGGGAGCGAACAGG